UACGAAGGGGGCUAGCGUUGUUCGGAAUUACUGGGCGUAAAGCGCACGUAGGCGGAUUGUUAAGUUAGGGGUGAAAUCCCAGGGCUCAACCCUGGAACUGCCUUUAAUACUGGCAAUCUCGAGUCCGAGAGAGGUGAGUGGAAUUCCGAGUGUAGAGGUGAAAUUCGUAGAUAUCGGAGGAACACCAGUGGCGAAGGCGGCUCACUGGCUCGGUACUGACGCUGAGGUGCGAAAGCGUGGGGAGCAACAGG
Molecule: ribosomal RNA, 251 nt
Filed under: uncultured bacterium
Lineage: Bacteria
Description: partial 16S ribosomal RNA
Rfam family: Bacterial small subunit ribosomal RNA
Source: RNAcentral